RNAcentral lists this long non-coding RNA (678 nucleotides) under Cyanistes caeruleus (blue tit). RNAcentral's name for it is "lncRNA (ENSCCEG00000003970.1)". Lineage: Eukaryota; Metazoa; Chordata; Aves; Passeriformes; Paridae. The record is from RNAcentral.
GGGCCGAGCCCGGCGCAGGGUCCCAGCAGGGAGCGGUUGAAGCGACAGGCGCGUUUGGGGUAGUUGGGGACGCUGUCGUCCGGCUGUUCGUUGUAGCGGCCGGCCGGACAGGCGGCGUUACGGGCGGCCUGGACGCUGUCGUUGUACGCUGCGGCCACGGCAACGCGCUCAGGGGCUGAGCGGUGCUGACCGGUGCUGACCAGUUCUGACCGGUGCUGACCGGUUCUGACCAGUUCUGACCGGUUCUGACCGGUUCUGACCAGUUCUGACCAGUUCUGACCAGUACUGACCAGUUCUAACCGGUUCUAACCAGUACUGACCGGUUCUAACUGAUUCUGACCAGUUCUGACCGGUUCUGACGGGCUCUGACCGGUUCUGACCAGUGCUGACCAGUGCUGACCAGUAACGCACUGGGAGCAGCCCUGAGCCCCAAACCCCAACCCUGGUACCGGCUCGGUCGCUCCCAGUUUGGGUUUGGGUCAUCCCAGUUUGGGUUUGUUCCAUCCCAGUUUGGGUUUGUUCCAUCCCAGUUUGGGUUUGUUCCAUCCCAGUUUGGGUUUGAUCCAUCCCAGUUUGGGUUUGGGUCAUCCCAGUUUGGGUUUGGGUCAUCCCAGUUUGGGUUUGUUCCAUCCCAGUUUGGGUUUGUUCCAUCCCAGUUUGGGUUUGAUCCAUCCCAGU